GUGGGGUUAGCAAAGCGGCCAUGCACCGGAUUGCAAACCCGGCUAGACCAGUUCGACUCUGGUACCCCACUCCA
Molecule: transfer RNA, 74 nt
Filed under: Achromobacter xylosoxidans
Lineage: Bacteria; Pseudomonadati; Pseudomonadota; Betaproteobacteria; Burkholderiales; Alcaligenaceae
Also listed under: 1 other name
Description: tRNA-Cys
Rfam family: tRNA
About the family: Transfer RNA (tRNA) molecules are approximately 80 nucleotides in length.
Source: RNAcentral